CCGCAACGGAACUUAAAGCUCCGCCCCUUCCAUGACGUCCACACGUUUGCGUUCUACGGCACCCCUGCAGGGGUCCGCUGCCCCAUCUUUUGCAGGCGAGGCCCCAGCUGGGAAGGUGGUCUCUGGUUUUUGGUCCGUGGGGACGGGCGCCAGCCACCGGCCUCCCGUCCGUCUGUAGACGGCAGGCUCUGGGAAGGAGAAAGGCAGGUGCAGAGCGAAGGAGCUGGUCCCUGAACAGAGACAGCGACGCCACCCGAGACCCGUUGGAGCCAGGGAGCACAGAGCAGCGGACAGCAGCUGUGAGGGUCAGGCUGUUGUGUCAACUCGGCCAGCUCCUAGGUAUAUCAGGAGAGCUGGAAACAUGUUCACGCAAAAACUUGUACACCAGUGUUCACAGCGGCUCUCUUCACAAUAGCCAGAAAGUGAAAGCAGCCCCCGUGCGUGGCGGAAAAGCAGGAAACAGCGCAGCGCAGCCAGGCAACGGAGUGUCGGAGUGUCGUUCAACCUCCAGAAGGAGCGACGCUCUGGUGCUGCGACAACCUGGGUGA
Molecule: long non-coding RNA, 548 nt
Filed under: Dasypus novemcinctus (nine-banded armadillo)
Lineage: Eukaryota; Metazoa; Chordata; Mammalia; Cingulata; Dasypodidae
Description: lncRNA (ENSDNOG00000051653.1)
Source: RNAcentral